This 2903-nucleotide ribosomal RNA is filed under the name Escherichia coli. Its description in RNAcentral is "23S ribosomal RNA". It matches the Rfam family "Bacterial large subunit ribosomal RNA". The record is from RNAcentral. Lineage: Bacteria; Pseudomonadati; Pseudomonadota; Gammaproteobacteria; Enterobacterales; Enterobacteriaceae.
GGUUAAGCGACUAAGCGUACACGGUGGAUGCCCUGGCAGUCAGAGGCGAUGAAGGACGUGCUAAUCUGCGAUAAGCGUCGGUAAGGUGAUAUGAACCGUUAUAACCGGCGAUUUCCGAAUGGGGAAACCCAGUGUGUUUCGACACACUAUCAUUAACUGAAUCCAUAGGUUAAUGAGGCGAACCGGGGGAACUGAAACAUCUAAGUACCCCGAGGAAAAGAAAUCAACCGAGAUUCCCCCAGUAGCGGCGAGCGAACGGGGAGCAGCCCAGAGCCUGAAUCAGUAUGUGUGUUAGUGGAAGCGUCUGGAAAGGCGCGCGAUACAGGGUGACAGCCCCGUACACAAAAAUGCACAUAUUGUGAGCUCGAUGAGUAGGGCGGGACACGUGGUAUCCUGUCUGAAUAUGGGGGGACCAUCCUCCAAGGCUAAAUACUCCUGACUGACCGAUAGUGAACCAGUACCGUGAGGGAAAGGCGAAAAGAACCCCGGCGAGGGGAGUGAAAAAGAACCUGAAACCGUGUACGUACAAGCAGUGGGAGCACGCUUAGGCGUGUGACUGCGUACCUUUUGUAUAAUGGGUCAGCGACUUAUAUUCUGUAGCAAGGUUAACCGAAUAGGGGAGCCGAAGGGAAACCGAGUCUUAACUGGGCGUUAAGUUGCAGGGUAUAGACCCGAAACCCGGUGAUCUAGCCAUGGGCAGGUUGAAGGUUGGGUAACACUAACUGGAGGACCGAACCGACUAAUGUUGAAAAAUUAGCGGAUGACUUGUGGCUGGGGGUGAAAGGCCAAUCAAACCGGGAGAUAGCUGGUUCUCCCCGAAAGCUAUUUAGGUAGCGCCUCGUGAAUUCAUCUCCGGGGGUAGAGCACUGUUUCGGCAAGGGGGUCAUCCCGACUUACCAACCCGAUGCAAACUGCGAAUACCGGAGAAUGUUAUCACGGGAGACACACGGCGGGUGCUAACGUCCGUCGUGAAGAGGGAAACAACCCAGACCGCCAGCUAAGGUCCCAAAGUCAUGGUUAAGUGGGAAACGAUGUGGGAAGGCCCAGACAGCCAGGAUGUUGGCUUAGAAGCAGCCAUCAUUUAAAGAAAGCGUAAUAGCUCACUGGUCGAGUCGGCCUGCGCGGAAGAUGUAACGGGGCUAAACCAUGCACCGAAGCUGCGGCAGCGACACUAUGUGUUGUUGGGUAGGGGAGCGUUCUGUAAGCCUGUGAAGGUGUGCUGUGAGGCAUGCUGGAGGUAUCAGAAGUGCGAAUGCUGACAUAAGUAACGAUAAAGCGGGUGAAAAGCCCGCUCGCCGGAAGACCAAGGGUUCCUGUCCAACGUUAAUCGGGGCAGGGUGAGUCGACCCCUAAGGCGAGGCCGAAAGGCGUAGUCGAUGGGAAACAGGUUAAUAUUCCUGUACUUGGUGUUACUGCGAAGGGGGGACGGAGAAGGCUAUGUUGGCCGGGCGACGGUUGUCCCGGUUUAAGCGUGUAGGCUGGUUUUCCAGGCAAAUCCGGAAAAUCAAGGCUGAGGCGUGAUGACGAGGCACUACGGUGCUGAAGCAACAAAUGCCCUGCUUCCAGGAAAAGCCUCUAAGCAUCAGGUAACAUCAAAUCGUACCCCAAACCGACACAGGUGGUCAGGUAGAGAAUACCAAGGCGCUUGAGAGAACUCGGGUGAAGGAACUAGGCAAAAUGGUGCCGUAACUUCGGGAGAAGGCACGCUGAUAUGUAGGUGAAGUCCCUCGCGGAUGGAGCUGAAAUCAGUCGAAGAUACCAGCUGGCUGCAACUGUUUAUUAAAAACACAGCACUGUGCAAACACGAAAGUGGACGUAUACGGUGUGACGCCUGCCCGGUGCCGGAAGGUUAAUUGAUGGGGUCAGCGCAAGCGAAGCUCUUGAUCGAAGCCCCGGUAAACGGCGGCCGUAACUAUAACGGUCCUAAGGUAGCGAAAUUCCUUGUCGGGUAAGUUCCGACCUGCACGAAUGGCGUAAUGAUGGCCAGGCUGUCUCCACCCGAGACUCAGUGAAAUUGAACUCGCUGUGAAGAUGCAGUGUACCCGCGGCAAGACGGAAAGACCCCGUGAACCUUUACUAUAGCUUGACACUGAACAUUGAGCCUUGAUGUGUAGGAUAGGUGGGAGGCUUUGAAGUGUGGACGCCAGUCUGCAUGGAGCCGACCUUGAAAUACCACCCUUUAAUGUUUGAUGUUCUAACGUUGACCCGUAAUCCGGGUUGCGGACAGUGUCUGGUGGGUAGUUUGACUGGGGCGGUCUCCUCCUAAAGAGUAACGGAGGAGCACGAAGGUUGGCUAAUCCUGGUCGGACAUCAGGAGGUUAGUGCAAUGGCAUAAGCCAGCUUGACUGCGAGCGUGACGGCGCGAGCAGGUGCGAAAGCAGGUCAUAGUGAUCCGGUGGUUCUGAAUGGAAGGGCCAUCGCUCAACGGAUAAAAGGUACUCCGGGGAUAACAGGCUGAUACCGCCCAAGAGUUCAUAUCGACGGCGGUGUUUGGCACCUCGAUGUCGGCUCAUCACAUCCUGGGGCUGAAGUAGGUCCCAAGGGUAUGGCUGUUCGCCAUUUAAAGUGGUACGCGAGCUGGGUUUAGAACGUCGUGAGACAGUUCGGUCCCUAUCUGCCGUGGGCGCUGGAGAACUGAGGGGGGCUGCUCCUAGUACGAGAGGACCGGAGUGGACGCAUCACUGGUGUUCGGGUUGUCAUGCCAAUGGCACUGCCCGGUAGCUAAAUGCGGAAGAGAUAAGUGCUGAAAGCAUCUAAGCACGAAACUUGCCCCGAGAUGAGUUCUCCCUGACUCCUUGAGAGUCCUGAAGGAACGUUGAAGACGACGACGUUGAUAGGCCGGGUGUGUAAGCGCAGCGAUGCGUUGAGCUAACCGGUACUAAUGAACCGUGAGGCUUAACCUU